ACACUCCUGCGGGAGGCAGCCGUGGGGAAUUUUGGACAAUGGGCGAAAGCCUGAUCCAGCAAUGCCGCGUGAGUGAAGAAGGCCUUCGGGUUGUAAAGCUCUUUUGUCAGGGAAGAAACGGUGAAAGCUAAUAUCUUUUGCUAAUGACGGUACCUGAAGAAUAAGCACCGGCUAACUACGUGCCAGCAGCCGCGGUAAUACGUAGGGUGCAAGCGUUAAUCGGAAUUACUGGGCGUAAAGCGUGCGCAGGCGGUUUUGUAAGUCUGAUGUGAAAUCCCCGGGCUCAACCUGGGAAUUGCAUUGGAGACUGCAAGGCUAGAAUCUGGCAGAGGGGGGUAGAAUUCCACGUGUAGCAGUGAAAUGCGUAGAUAUGUGGAGGAACACCGAUGGCGAAGGCAGCCCCCUGGGUCAAGAUUGACGCUCAUGCACGAAAGCGUGGGGAGCAAACAGGAUUAGAAACCCCUGUAGUCCCAUGA
This 476-nucleotide ribosomal RNA is filed under the name uncultured organism. RNAcentral's name for it is "partial 16S ribosomal RNA". It matches the Rfam family "Bacterial small subunit ribosomal RNA", at positions 333 to 800 of the family's 1533-position model. The record is from RNAcentral.